RNAcentral lists this ribosomal RNA (532 nucleotides) under uncultured bacterium. RNAcentral's name for it is "bacterial SSU rRNA". It matches the Rfam family "Bacterial small subunit ribosomal RNA", at positions 979 to 1509 of the family's 1533-position model. The record is from RNAcentral.
CCUUGACAUACUAAGAACUUUCCAGAGAUGGAUUGGUGCCUUCGGGAACUUAGAUACAGGUGCUGCAUGGCUGUCGUCAGCUCGUGUCGUGAGAUGUUGGGUUAAGUCCCGCAACGAGCCGCAACCCUUUUCCUUAUUUGCCAGCGGGUCAUGCCGGGAACUUUAAGGAUACUGCCAGUGACAAACUGGAGGAAGGCGGGGACGACGUCAAGUCAUCAUGGCCCUUACGGCCAGGGCUACACACGUGCUACAAUGGUCGGUACAAAGGGUUGCUACCUCGCGAGAGGAUGCUAAUCUCAAAAAGCCGAUCGUAGUCCGGAUCGCAGUCUGCAACUCGACUGCGUGAAGUCGGAAUCGCUAGUAAUCGCGGAUCAGAAUGCCGCGGUGAAUACGUUCCCGGGCCUUGUACACACCGCCCGUCACACCAUGGGAGCUUGUUGCACCAGAAGUAGGUAGUCUAACCGCAAGGAGGACGCUUACCACGGUGUGGCCGAUGACUGGGGUGAAGUCGUAACAAGGUAAGCGUAGAUGA